GCUUUAGGUCCUCUCCGAGGUACCUGGUAGUGAGGAUUAAUGCCUUACCAAAGGGCACUAGCACAUCGUCUUGGUUUCAAACCCGGGUCACCGGAUUACGAGAUGAAUUGAUUAAUUUGGAGGCGUCUCGUUUAGAUAUCAAUCUAUAUGUGAAUUAUGUAUGGUUGAUUUCAUGUGGAAAGUCAGGACUUGGUGUGCAAUGGGGCACUUUUUUGUUGUUAUUUUCAAAUUGUUUGAGACCAUAGCGAGAUGAUAAACUUUUGUUUUCUGUUUUUGUUUGUUUCAUAUUUGGGUAUUGGACGAUGGAGAAUUUUUAUAUCUAUGUUGCACUGUUGUAAAUCUUCACAUUAUAUUUAUAUCCUGAAUCAUUGCAGUGAAGCCAUGAUCAUAUGACAUUUGAAAGCAUGAUUCAAUAUAUAAGCAAAGACCAAAUGUUUUGACAUAUUUUUUCACUGGAUGAGUUGAACAUUGAUGUUCAGAAGUAACAGUGUAACCAUUUUCGAUGGGAAGACAUGCAUGUUAUUUUGCCAAUGUUAAAUGUUGAUUAAUUCUUCAGUUUUUUGACAGAAGCAUGUUAAAUGCAAAAUUUCAAUUGCCAUUUCUUCCUACCGACCUACCAUAAAUUGUACACCUGUAGCUUCAUACCUUUUAAUAAUGCAGAACUAGACCUGGUUCCUUGAACAACUGUCUCUGCUCAUAUUUGUUGUAAAGGUGGGUUCUUAUUUAUCCAUCAUUUAGUUUUAGAACUGUAAAGGUUGAUGUAGGACUCCACCCAAAUUUUCACAACGGUUCCAGAUUGGACUUUUCUGGAUUACUAUUUUGGGUUUUCAAGUUUCACAGAUUCCUGUUAGUGGGUAACCUUACUGGAAUUUCAUGUUUUUAAUUCUAAAAAACAAACUAUUUUAUCCCCUUGAAUUAGACUGUUUGUUUGUAAUGUUUGCUCAUGAUUAAAUGCCUUUUUUUGAUGCCUCCAUCAACAAAGUUGGUUCCAGAGGCAUUAUGUUUUUGUGUUGUCCAUCCGUCCGUCCCGUUUUUCAUUACCGCAAUAACUAUUGAACAGAGUUUAAUCGGCCGUGAUCAAGGAUGAACUGAUUAGAUUAUGAAUAGAAGAGUUCAAUGGUCAUAGGGUCAUAAAAUAUAUUGUUACCAUGAUAACGUGAAAAGCAUGAAAGCAAUCCAAACCAAACUUGGAUGGAGUGUGAAUGAGCAUGUAAGGAUGCACAGAUUAGAUUUUGGAUGUAAUAUCGUGAAGGUCAUAGGGUAAUAAAAGUUUUUAAAAAUACCAGAAAAUAUGUUUUUGCGAUAACUCGAAAAUCAUUGUAAUGGUAUGCAGGGAUGAACCGAUUGGAUUUCGGGUGUUAGAGGGCAAAGGUCGGAAGGUCAUAAAAUUGUUUAAAAGAUACUGGAAAAUAUCUUGUUACUGCGAUAACUCGAAAAGAAUUAAAGCAAUUAAACCAAAGUUGGGCAAAGUAUCUAUGAGCAUGCAGGGAUGAACUGAUUAGAUUUUGGGAGUACAUGUACAUGAAAGAGAGUAUUAUAAUUCUCAGAAAAUCCCUUAUUACUGUAUUAACUAAUUUAACUUACUUUAGAAAAUUAAACUAAUGUUGACCGAACUGGGCUCAAGUAUGACAAAAUCAAAUGAAAAGAGUGUUGGUCAUGAGGUCAGAUAUUAAAGGUGGAGGCAUAUUAAAAACACAUCUUGUUUUAGGGGUGUGUUUUAUUUAAGAUCAAAGGUUUUUUUUUGUCUUCUUUUUAUUUACAUAUUUAUAUAUAUAUAUAUAUAUACGAACACUAUUGCCCAUAAAGCAAUCUAGGAUUAAUGUGUCUCCUCCACUAAUGACUCAUUAGCAACUUCUAGUUUCUAAGGCACAAAUUAAGCAGUUGCUGACUCAUCUCGUAUGUCAGUCAGUCGUGGUCGUCACGGAGUUUUUCAUGGCCUCAAAUUACCGACCUCUCUAUAACUUUUGAGGAUUUUACAGACUGCACUCUCUGAUAUUUCAAGGAAAUCAGCAAUAUUGGCUUGUUCGUGUCCAUCUUGGCGGAGUGCAAGUAAUCAUUGGUGUAUUGAUGAGGCAUAGCCUAGGGAACUUCUGUGUCUAACUUGUUUGCAAAUUAUACUACAAAUUUUGAAAUCAUGGUGAUCUUCUUUACAGCCUCUACAAAGGAAAAAGACAACAUAGCAAUGUCUUGCCUGUUAUAGCGCCAAACUUAAGGCUAGGUUGUGUAAUGGAAUGUUUUGCAUGAAUGAAAUUCACCCUGACAAUUUGGACUCUUUAUGUACUCAUUACACCAGGUCACAAGUGGUUAUUGUGCAUUUUAAUAGGAAUAAAUAUGUUUGAAAACAAGAUUAUUCUACCUUUAUGGGCAACAGUGUACCGGUAUAUAUUAUUACACUAAGUACAUACAUGUUUCUCAGUCUGCUUCACAGAAGCUCUGAAAUAAGCCAGAACCACAAUGAAAUAUAUAUGUGUGUAUGUCAUAUGUGAGAAAUUUUCGUUCUAAAACUUCAUAGCAUCAGCAACACUUGUGGGUUAAAUCUACAUGAUAAGAGAAAUCAAUCAGAUGAGAGAUAAUUUGCAUGGCUUCAAAUCCAUUGUUCCUCAUUAACUGCUUUCCUUUUUGUGGAAAUAAUUGCAAAGGUUGCAAAAACCGUCUUGACUUCCAUUGUCUAGUGGGUAAGGUAUAUCACAUACCAUACCGCCAGGGCCAAAGACCAGUUUCUAUUCCUGGCGGAAACAGUUUUUGCAGCCUUUGCAGUACAGUGUAUUUCCAUCCAAGGGAAGUCACUAAAUAAAGGAGGAACAACACAUUUGAAGCCACGCAUAUGAUUUCUGUCAUCGAAUUGAUGUCAAACACAACACACAGGCAUUUUCUUUUUCCAUUUCGAGUACUUUAUAUGUUUAAUAACAUUUUUGCAUACAAAGUAAUGCAAACUUUUGUUAAAUGUUUAUGAGACAAACAGACUUAUAUGUAUUCAAGAUUGCUUUAAAAUAAAUUUUGUUGGAUUGUGUAUAAAGUUUGUCAUUACUAGAACUCAGUUUACCUCCAGUAUGUAGACAGGUGUAUGAAUAUUGUGGAAAACUUGUAUUUACAGAUAAUAUGUAAAUAGUUGUGCUUAAAAUGAAUUGGUUCUAAUUAUUCCAGAUGUUUCAGUUGUACUACUGAGAUCUAGAAACUGCUAUCUUUUAUUGUAGCACUCUGAGAAAAAGAUAGAAGGGCUGCAUUAAUUGCUGAAAAUCAAAAUACCAUUUCGAUAUCAAGUCGAUUAAAAAAAAAUAAUCAAAAUCAUUUUGUCUGUUUGUUAUUUUGUCUAUUUUGUUUUUUGUUGAGUAUAUUUGCAAUGUGCCUGUAACUAUUCUUCAUGUAAAAUAGAUUUUGUCCAUUCUGUUUAUUUCACUAUAUGCUUGGCAAUUUUUAUUAAUUGCAGUUGAAUAAAUAUGAAUAUAAUAAUCUUGCA
Molecule: long non-coding RNA, 3457 nt
Organism: Strongylocentrotus purpuratus (purple sea urchin)
Lineage: Eukaryota; Metazoa; Echinodermata; Echinoidea; Camarodonta; Strongylocentrotidae
Exons: 2
Source: RefSeq, a predicted model, not a curated record